RNAcentral lists this transfer RNA (73 nucleotides) under Cohnella sp. RNAcentral's name for it is "tRNA-Lys". It matches the Rfam family "tRNA". Rfam says of the family: Transfer RNA (tRNA) molecules are approximately 80 nucleotides in length. Their secondary structure includes four short double-helical elements and three loops (D, anti-codon, and T loops). The record is from RNAcentral. Lineage: Bacteria; Bacillati; Bacillota; Bacilli; Caryophanales; Paenibacillaceae.
GGGUCUAUAGCUCAGUUGGCGGAGCAGCCGUCUUUUAAGCGGCCGGUCGGAGGUUCGAUUCCUCCUGGACCCA